Molecule: non-coding RNA, 45 nt
Filed under: Trichobilharzia regenti
Lineage: Eukaryota; Metazoa; Platyhelminthes; Trematoda; Strigeidida; Schistosomatidae
Source: RNAcentral
AUCCAGAUGACGAGUCCCAAACGAGACGAAAUGCGCAUACUGGAU